This 858-nucleotide ribosomal RNA is filed under the name Paragnomonia fragariae. RNAcentral's name for it is "partial 28S ribosomal RNA". It matches the Rfam family "Eukaryotic large subunit ribosomal RNA", at positions 76 to 966 of the family's 3401-position model. The record is from RNAcentral. Lineage: Eukaryota; Fungi; Ascomycota; Sordariomycetes; Diaporthales; Sydowiellaceae.
UGCCCUAGUAACGGCGAGUGAAGCGGCAACAGCUCAAAUUUGAAAUCUGGCCUCGGCCCGAGUUGUAAUUUGCAGAGGAUGAUUUUGGCGCGGUGCCUUCCGAGUUCCCUGGAACGGGACGCCACAGAGGGUGAGAGCCCCGUAUGGUCGGACACCAAGCCUUUGUAAAUCUCCUUCGACGAGUCGAGUAGUUUGGGAAUGCUGCUCAAAAUGGGAGGUAAAUCUCUUCUAAAGCUAAAUAUUGGCCAGAGACCGAUAGCGCACAAGUAGAGUGAUCGAAAGAUGAAAAGCACCUUGAAAAGGGGGUUAAACAGUACGUGAAAUUGUUGAAAGGGAAGGGCUCGUGACCAGACUUGUGCCAGGCGGCUCAUCCGGCGUUCUCGCCGGUGCACUCCGCCUGGCUCAGGCCAGCAUCGGUUCUUGCCGGGGGAUAAGAGCUUCGGGAACGUGGCCCCCUUCGGGGGGUGUUAUAGCCCGUUGCACGAUGCCCUGGCGGGGACCGAGGUUCGCGCUCCGCAAGGAUGCUGGCGUAAUGGUCACCAACCACCCGUCUUGAAACACGGACCAAGGAGUCGUCCAUCAGAGCGAGCGUUUGGGUGUAAAACCCGCACGCGUAAUGAAAGUGAACGCAGGUGAGAGCUUCGGCGCAUCAUCGACCGAUCCUGAUGUAUUCGGAUGGAUUUGAGUAAGAGUUUUGCUGGACGGACCCGAAAGACAGUGAACUAUGCUUGUAUAGGGUGAAGCCAGAGGAAACUCUGGUGGAGGCUCGCAGCGGUUCUGACGUGCAAAUCGAUCGUCAAAUAUGAGCAUGGGGGCGAAAGACUAAUCGAACUGUCUAGUAGCUGGUUACCGCCGAAU